CUUGACCUCGGAUCAGGUAGGGAUACCCGCUGAACUUAAGCAUAUCAAUAAGCGGAGGAAAAGAAACCAACAGGGAUUGCCCCAGUAACGGCGAGUGAAGCGGCAGCAGCUCAAAUUUG
RNAcentral lists this ribosomal RNA (119 nucleotides) under Cladoriella xanthorrhoeae. Its description in RNAcentral is "partial 28S ribosomal RNA". It matches the Rfam family "Eukaryotic large subunit ribosomal RNA", at positions 1 to 117 of the family's 3401-position model. Lineage: Eukaryota; Fungi; Ascomycota; Dothideomycetes. The record is from RNAcentral.